Molecule: long non-coding RNA, 853 nt
Organism: Harmonia axyridis
Lineage: Eukaryota; Metazoa; Arthropoda; Insecta; Coleoptera; Coccinellidae
Exons: 3
Source: RefSeq, a predicted model, not a curated record
AGAAGCUGAUGGUAUCAUUUGCGAUUGCUCGAAUUCUUGACUAAGAGUCAUCCAUUGUGGGAUUUAUUUCGGUAAUCGUAUUUUGUGCAUUUUGAAAAUCCAAGCCCUUUUUCGUUUUGAAGAAACUGGUAUUUUCCGUAUUUUUCUCGAUGGAAGCUUAUUUGAAUAUUCUACUGCUCUAAUUGCAUGUGGUGAUCUUUGGAAUUUUCGUCAAUCAGUUAUACUGGGAUGCAUUUGGUGAAAUUUGGUUGGAAUUCACUGAAAAAUUCCACUCAGUGGAAAAGAAGUCUCAUUGACUGCCUCCAAACAACUGGGGUGUUAGUAGAACGUCAUUGUGUCAUAACGUCUUGGUGAAGCACCACGUUUCUGCGUAGUCCUGUGAGAUUAUCGCUGAGUUAUCUACAAUUCUGGAGAUCGAUUUCAAGGGACAGCCAACUUGGAAUCGAGGAGAUUGGGGAAGUAUAAAGGAGUAGUUCCUGAGGGGAGAACCAUCAAGUUGAGAACAAUUGAGGAUUUUAACGCAAGUUCUGGACUGUUGAAAUAUCUGUUUUUAUGAAACUUGCCUAUUCCUAAUUAGUUUCUACUGAUGUACUAAUUGUGAAGAACUUUAUUACUACGCAGGUUCAAACUGCGAAGAGUUUCAGUUUUAUAGAGAUAAGAUUAUUUCAUUACCUUUGUCGGUUUACCAUUUACAAUUUAGGUUAUUUUCAUAUUUUAUAUUUACAAGUGAGGUUAUUUUCAUGCAAGGGUUAUAGAGAAAUUUGUCAUUAUCAGAUCAUUAGUAGGAUUACAAUCCUCAUUGUCUGACAACAUAUCGCCUAUAUAUACCGACGAUUAUUUCAUUUGUAAGGUA